GUCUAAGCCUCGCUGCCACGUGGGUUUGCCACUCGGGGCCUGCAAGUCUGCCGAUAUCCACCAGGUGGCGCAGCACCUGGGCUGGGACUCGCCGGAGCUGUGAGGGGAGCUUGGGAUGGGUUUGCGGUCGGUGGAGCGGGUGUUGGUCCUUGAGGGGACUCAAGCAGCUGCGCCUUGUAGAUGCCAUGGGGUUGGGAGUGGACUUGGGCUCAGUCCACAGCCGUCCAGCCCAGACCUACUCGGCACGCAAAUCUCGCCAUUCUCUCUCAACCUCCAUGUUCCGUCCAGCUGGCAAACCAGGGAUACAGACUGGGCUGGAGAGACAGAGGGUCACCCUAUGUUGCCUAGGCUGGUCUGGAACUCCUGGACUUAAGCAAUCCUCCCACCUCAGCUUCCCAAAGUGCUGGAAUCACAGGUGUGACCCACCACAUGCAGUCUAAUGUAAAAAG
RNAcentral lists this long non-coding RNA (449 nucleotides) under Homo sapiens (human). Its description in RNAcentral is "HSALNT0015650". Lineage: Eukaryota; Metazoa; Chordata; Mammalia; Primates; Hominidae. The record is from RNAcentral.